UACGAAGGGGGCUAGCGUUGCUCGGAAUCACUGGGCGUAAAGGGCGCGUAGGCGGAUCUUUAAGUCGGGGGUGAAAGCCCAGGGCUCAACCCUGGAAUUGCCUUCGAUACUGGAGAUCUUGAGACCGGAAGAGGUAAGUGGAACUCAUGGUGUAGCAGUGAAAUGCGUAGAGAUCAUGAGGAAGACCAGUGGCGAAGGCGGGUCUCUGGACAGUUCCUGACACUGAGGCACGAAGGCCAGGGGAGCAAACGGG
This 253-nucleotide ribosomal RNA is filed under the name uncultured bacterium. Its description in RNAcentral is "partial 16S ribosomal RNA". It matches the Rfam family "Bacterial small subunit ribosomal RNA", at positions 524 to 776 of the family's 1533-position model. The record is from RNAcentral.